CAGAGGUUAAACUCUAUUUAUCAACUUAAAGCCUUCAGCUGUUCUCCAAUUUAGAAAGAGGUGUUUGUAUGAGAGGGCAAAGUCUGAAGUUAUUGUUGGGUUGUUUUAGGCAAGCUUUCACAUUGAUUCUGGUGCAACAUAAGGUUAAGGCAGUGAAUUUUCUGAGACCUGAUACUGAGACACGGAAAGCUGUCUCUCCUGUUUCCCUCAUCUACACAAGCUGUGACUUAAAGAGCAGAAAAAGCAGUGAGCCUGGGAUGAGCUGCCUCUGUCUAGUACUGGAGCACUUGGGAUCAAAGUUUCUCUUACACAGCCUGAUGCCUGAGCCUGUUCAACAAAGCGUGAGGAUGGUUUCUGGCUCAUCUGUUCAUUCAAGCUUUUAAUUAGUUACCAGCUAUCCUCAUGGUGAGGAGUUGACGCCUGAUGUUAUUGAGGUACUUAUUCAAGCGUUCAUGUUUAUGCAAACGCAUUCUUUUUAUAUCGGAUUUUGGGCAGUCAUAAGCCGUGGUAAGGAAUUAAAUGACAUGUAAAGAAGAAAUGUGACCCAUUGAUCAAAGAUGCGCUGGCCCACCAGUGAACAGUCUAUCCGGGCUGUGAAAUGGCUGGUCCCCAGAGAGGCCCAUUCAAAAAAGAACUGAUGCUUGCGUUUUCCAGCAUCUAUAUGCAGAAUCCCAAGUGGUUAUACAACACACACACAUGACGUGAGCUGCAAACACACAUUGCUGCAGUCCUUAUGCUGGUCCUGUUUUUGAGUUAGUGUCAAAGCUUUCCUGGAUGGGUAUGUGCACUGCUUGACUACUUGCAAAGAACUGGGCCAUUAGCCCAUAGACAGGGGAGCGUAUGUCAUGCUACACAGAAAAACAGGUCCUUAGCAAAACCACGGGACACAGAAGCACUCAGCAGCUUCUUACCUGCUCCCCACUGCAGUGAUUCUGCAGCUGCCAUUGCUGCACAUCCAUAUAAGAGGACAGGGCAAGACCAAAUAAACACAAAUAAGCUCAAACCA
RNAcentral lists this long non-coding RNA (1006 nucleotides) under Anser brachyrhynchus (Pink-footed goose). Its description in RNAcentral is "lncRNA (ENSABRG00000001507.1)". Lineage: Eukaryota; Metazoa; Chordata; Aves; Anseriformes; Anatidae. The record is from RNAcentral.